This 250-nucleotide ribosomal RNA is filed under the name uncultured prokaryote. Its description in RNAcentral is "partial 16S ribosomal RNA". It matches the Rfam family "Bacterial small subunit ribosomal RNA", at positions 524 to 773 of the family's 1533-position model. The record is from RNAcentral.
UACGUAGGGGGCAAGCGUUAUCCGGACUUACUGGGUGUAAAGGGAGCGUAGACGGCAAGGCAAGUCUGAAGUGAAAUCCCGUGGCUCAACUGCGGAACUGCUUUGGAAACUGUCAUGCUUGAGUGCAGGAGAGGUAAGUGGAAUUCCUAGUGUAGCGGUGAAAUGCGUAGAUAUUAGGAGGAACACCAGUGGCGAAGGCGGCUUACUGGACUGUAACUGACGUUGAGGCUCGAAAGCGUGGGGAGCGAAC